Molecule: ribosomal RNA, 956 nt
Filed under: Salmonella enterica subsp. enterica serovar Derby
Lineage: Bacteria; Pseudomonadati; Pseudomonadota; Gammaproteobacteria; Enterobacterales; Enterobacteriaceae
Description: bacterial LSU rRNA
Rfam family: Bacterial large subunit ribosomal RNA
Source: RNAcentral
GGGUUGUGAGGUUAAGCGACUAAGCGUACACGGUGGAUGCCCUGGCAGUCAGAGGCGAUGAAGGACGUGCUAAUCUGCGAUAAGCGCCGGUAAGGUGAUAUGAACCGUUAUAACCGGCGAUUUCCGAAUGGGGAAACCCAGUGUGAUUCGUCACACUAUCAUUAACUGAAUCCAUAGGUUAAUGAGGCGAACCGGGGGAACUGAAACAUCUAAGUACCCCGAGGAAAAGAAAUCAACCGAGAUUCCCCCAGUAGCGGCGAGCGAACGGGGAGGAGCCCAGAGCCUGAAUCAGCAUGUGUGUUAGUGGAAGCGUCUGGAAAGGCGCGCGAUACAGGGUGACAGCCCCGUACACAAAAGCGCAUGUGUUGUGAGCUCGAUGAGUAGGGCGGGACACGUGGUAUCCUGUCUGAAUAUGGGGGGACCAUCCUCCAAGGCUAAAUACUCCUGACUGACCGAUAGUGAACCAGUACCGUGAGGGAAAGGCGAAAAGAACCCCGGCGAGGGGAGUGAAAAAGAACCUGAAACCGUGUACGUACAAGCAGUGGGAGCACAGGUUUACCUGUGUGACUGCGUACCUUUUGUAUAAUGGGUCAGCGACUUAUAUUCUGUAGCAAGGUUAACCGUAUAGGGGAGCCGCAGGGAAACCGAGUCUUAACCGGGCGUUAAGUUGCAGGGUAUAGACCCGAAACCCGGUGAUCUAGCCAUGGGCAGGUUGAAGGUUGGGUAACACUAACUGGAGGACCGAACCGACUAAUGUUGAAAAAUUAGCGGAUGACCUGUGGCUGGGGGUGAAAGGCCAAUCAAACCGGGAGAUAGCUGGUUCUCCCCGAAAGCUAUUUAGGUAGCGCCUCGUGAAUUCAUCUCCGGGGGUAGAGCACUGUUUCGGCUAGGGGGCCAUCCCGGCUUACCAACCCGAUGCAAACUGCGAAUACCGGAGAAUGUUAUCACGGGAGACA